Molecule: long non-coding RNA, 2335 nt
Organism: Equus caballus (horse)
Lineage: Eukaryota; Metazoa; Chordata; Mammalia; Perissodactyla; Equidae
Source: Ensembl
GGCCCCAAAUCCCACAGAAUUCAAACACUUGCAAAAUGUUUAAUGGGAGAAAGAUAUUAACAAAGGUGAUUUUGUUAAUCCAUAAUCCUGAGGACAAAUAUAUUGACGGGAGGUACUGAUUUGGCUGUCAAGGUGUUUGGGCAGAUCUGUGAUUAUUAUAAUCAUUGGUUUGAACUAAUUUUCCUUUUCUUUUUUUCUUUCAUAUAAGAAAUUAAGAAAAUAGUAAAGGUCAAAUGUGUUCAAAUAAAUAAACUGCCCAAUUUGCUGAAAAUAGGAUCUAGUUUUUAACUUAGUUUGUGUUCUUUGUGUUAGUUUUCUACCAUGGAAUAUGGUUGAACUUGAACAAGACGUGAUAUGUCUCCUUGUUUUACCAUUGUAGGAUCAAAUUUUCACUUGCUGUCAAAAUUCUGUGGGCUUCUUCAUCAAAAAUCUUGUAAAUUGUUUACUUAUUUCAACGAUGUAGGCAUCUAUAAAAUGAACAAAAUCAAGAACUUUGAAAAUAUAUGCAAGUUAAAAAUGGAUGAAAGUUUUAGCUAAGAAAAAUUAAGCUGUCAGAAGUGUUUCUUUUACAAGUUUGUUUCAGUGCCGCACCUCAUGUCUGGGCACAGGCUAAUGUGUUCUGAUGAACUUCAACAGAAAGUGUAGGAGGCCCAUGAGGAUGGCAAUCAGAAGCACGUGUGCUUCCAACUUCUACAUGUCAUGAAGCAUAUACCUUUUCCUGUUAAACCAGUUUUUUUGGAAGAGAGCAUAGCCUUGUGGAAAGAGUUCUCUACUUGGAAUCAGGAGACCCAAGAAAACUAGUUUCAAGCCUGGAUAUUCCCCUUUUUGUCUUCGUGCUUCUUGUUCAAGUUAGUAACUUUUAUGAAUUAGGUAAAGUAAUAUUCACCUCAAAUAAUGGUGUGAGAAUUAAAUGAGAUAACGUAUGUGAAAGAAACUGGCACAUUAUGGACACUCAGAAAAAAAUGCUGCUUUCCUUCAUUCAUCAAAUAUGUUUGCAAACAAACACUGAGAGCUAAUGAUCUCAAAAUUUUUGUGUUCUCUGGCUUUGAACACCACCAUUAUGAAUACUUUCCUUUUCUUUCUUUUUUUGUUUUUCAGUAAGUGUCUUCAUCAUUCCACAAAUGUUUAUUGAGGAUAACUAAGUGUCAAUCACUGUGAUAGUUGGUGGUUAAACAAAAUACUAUGGUCCUUAUCUUCACAGAAGUAAGAGUUAAGAGGGAAAGCAAAGAAUGAUGAAAUGAAGGAAAGUGUAUAUAAUUAAAAAGUAUAGAAAUUAUUGAAAAGGAAAAAAACCCCAGGUACAACAAUAGAUAAUAAUGAGGAAAACCUCACUGAGAUAGCAUUACACAAAAGACUUCUCCCUUGAGGUCACAUUUGAACCAUGGAAAAAGUGACAUCUUGAUUGAGACUAAAAGAGGAAAAGGAGAGAGCUAUGGUAAUACAGGAGUAAAAGCAUUUUGAGAGUGGGAGCACCAUGUUUAAACUUGGAAAAGAACCUGGUGAUUCAAGGAACUUAAAUCUGGUUGGUGUGCUGCAGGACAAUGGUGAGCAAGGCAGAGAAUAACAUGACAGGGGCUUAGGAGGCAGCAGGGGACAAAUUAUACAGGAUAGGGGGCAUGGAAGGCAUUUAUGCAUUAUCUAAAAGGCAAUAGGAAGCCACUAAAGAAUUUUAACUGGAGGAGUAACAGAAUUUAAUUUAAAUUUUUAAGGAGUACUGUAGCUGUGGUAUAGAGAAUGAAUUAGAGGGGAAAAGAACGGAAGCAGAGGACAAGAUAGAAGGCAAUUGCAGGAGUUCCGAGAAGAGGUAGUUGUUUAGACCGCAGUAGUUGCACUGGAGAAAAAGAGAAGUACAUGGGAUUAAGAAUUGACAGUAGUUGAUGAUAUAUUUGAUGUGGAGAGAUGGAAAGGGAGAAUUAGGAGUCAAGGAUGAUAUUCUAUGCGUCUUUGAUAAUGCAGAGGGAAGGACCAUUUACUAAAAUGGAAAAGACUAGAGGAAGAAUUAUUUUGGUUGGUGUGAAGAUCAAGAAUUCAAUUUUGGACAUGUUGGAGAUGCAAAAUUCUCCUGCUAAAAAUGUUUAUAUAUGCUGGAUAGACUACAACAACAUUUACAUGUAUGGCUGAGCUUUCAAUAAGUAAAAUGGAAAUUCCCAAGAGCUGGAAAUUCAUAUGAGAAUUAAACUAAAGAAAUAAGCACAUGAGCUGAUUUUGUGACUAUUCUGGGACAGCUUGGCCAUCUUAAUCAUCUAGGGACUUGGGUUUUCAUAACCAUACAGGAAUGGAAGCUGAGACCUUAAGGCUACAUGAGGUGAGAAACUGGAGCAAAGAUAUCUGCAUA